GUUUGAUCCUGGCUCAGAGUGAACGCCGGCGGCAGGCCUAACACAUGCAAGUCGAGCGGCAGCGCAGCAGUAGCAAUACUGUGGGCGGCGAGCGGCGGACGGGUGAGGAACACAUCGGAAUCUACCCUGUCGUGGGGGACAACGUAGGGAAACUUACGCUAAUACCGCAUACGACCUUCGGGUGAAAGUGGGGGACUCGCAAGAGCCUCACGCGAUUGGAUGAGCCGAUGUCCGAUUAGCUAGUUGGCGGGGUAAUGGCCCACCAAGGCGACGAUCGGUAGCUGGUCUGAGAGGACGACCAGCCACACUGGAACUGAGACACGGUCCAGACUCCUACGGGAGGCAGCAGUGGGGAAUAUUGGACAAUGGGGGCAACCCUGAUCCAGCCAUGCCGCGUGGGUGAAGAAGGCCUUCGGGUUGUAAAGCCCUUUUGUACGGGAAGAAAAGCGUGCGGUUAAUAACCGUACGUGCUGACGGUACCGUAAGAAUAAGCACCGGCUAACUUCGUGCCAGCAGCCGCGGUAAUACGAAGGGUGCAAGCGUUACUCGGAAUUACUGGGCGUAAAGCGUGCGUAGGUGGUUUGUUAAGUCUGAUGUGAAAUCCCCGGGCUCAACCUGGGAAUGGCAUUGGAUACUGGCAGGCUAGAGUGCGGUAGAGGGUGGUGGAAUUCCCGGUGUAGCAGUGAAAUGCGUAGAGAUCGGGAGGAACAUCUGUGGCGAAGGCGGCCACCUGGACCAGCACUGACACUGAGGCACGAAAGCGUGGGGAGCAAACAGGAUUAGAUACCCUGGUAGUCCACGCCCUAAACGAUGCGAACUGGAUGUUGGGCUCAACUUGGAGCUCAGUAUCGAAGCUAACGCGUUAAGUUC
Molecule: ribosomal RNA, 870 nt
Filed under: uncultured Gammaproteobacteria bacterium
Lineage: Bacteria; Pseudomonadati; Pseudomonadota; Gammaproteobacteria
Description: bacterial SSU rRNA
Rfam family: Bacterial small subunit ribosomal RNA
Source: RNAcentral